CUUGGUCAUUUAGAGGAAGUAAAAGUCGUAACAAGGUUUCCGUAGGUGAACCUGCGGAAGGAUCAUUAUUGAAUAAAAACUUGAACAGGCUGUUGCUGGCUUCUUGCAUGUGCACGCUUGUCAUUUUUUUCAUUUCUCCUCUGUGCACCAACUGUAGGUCUGGAUCAAGGUGCUCUCUGCCUUGCAAUCUCCAGGUCUAUGUUUUUCUUUACAACCUCUCAAUGUGUUUGGAAUGUCAAAUUGUGAAUAUAUAUGUAUAUAUACAACUUUCAGCAACGGAUCUCUUGGCUCUCGCAUCGAUGAAGAACGCAGCGAAAUGCGAUAAGUAAUGUGAAUUGCAGAAUUCAGUGAAUCAUCGAAUCUUUGAACGCAUCUUGCGCUCCUUGGUAUUCCGAGGAGCAUGCCUGUUUGAGUGUCAUCAAGUUCUCAAUCUGUAUUGAUUUGCUUCAAUGUGGAUUGGAUAGCUGGGGUUUGCAGGUUUUUUUUAAAAAGGUCUGCUUUCCUGAAAUAAAUUAGUGGCAUCUGAGCAAAAGGGGACCACUACAGGUGUAUCUAUGCCUCUUGUAAAAGCCCUGUGCCCAAAGCUGCUUCAAAUCUCAUUUUUGUUGACCAAUUUGACCUCAAAUCAGAUAGGACUACCCGCUGAACUUAAGCAUAUCAAUAAGCGGAGGAA
RNAcentral lists this ribosomal RNA (673 nucleotides) under uncultured fungus. RNAcentral describes it as "eukaryotic LSU rRNA". The stretch from base 265 to 418 matches the Rfam family "5.8S ribosomal RNA". The record is from RNAcentral. Lineage: Eukaryota; Fungi.